Molecule: ribosomal RNA, 876 nt
Filed under: uncultured bacterium
Lineage: Bacteria
Description: bacterial SSU rRNA
Rfam family: Bacterial small subunit ribosomal RNA
Source: RNAcentral
AGAGUUUAAUCCUGGCUCAGAUUGAACGCUGGCGGAAUGCUUUACACAUGCAAGUCGAACGGUAGAGGGGGCAACCCCUUGAGAGUGGCGAACGGGUGAGUAAUGUAUCGGAACGUGCCCAGUCGUGGGGGAUAACGUAGUGAAAAUUACGCUAAUACCGCAUACGAUCUAUGGAUGAAAGCGGGGGAUCGCAAGACCUCGCGCGAUUGGAGCGGCCGAUAUCAGAUUAGGUAGUUGGUGGGGUAAAGGCUCACCAAGCCAACGAUCUGUAGCUGGUCUGAGAGGACGACCAGCCACACUGGAACUGAGACACGGUCCAGACUCCUACGGGAGGCAGCAGUGGGGAAUUUUGGACAAUGGACGCAAGUCUGAUCCAGCCAUUCCGCGUGCAGGACGAAGGCCUUCGGGUUGUAAACUGCUUUUGUACGGAACGAAAAAGCUCUUAUUAAUACUAGGAGUCCAUGACGGUACCGUAAGAAUAAGCACCGGCUAACUACGUGCCAGCAGCCGCGGUAAUACGUAGGGUGCAAGCGUUAAUCGGAAUUACUGGGCGUAAAGCGUGCGCAGGCGGUUAUAUAAGACAGAUGUGAAAUCCCCGAGCUUAACUUGGGAACUGCAUUUGUGACUGUAUAGCUAGAGUACGGCAGAGGGGGAUGGAAUUCCGCGUGUAGCAGUGAAAUGCGUAGAUAUGCGGAGGAACACCGAUGGCGAAAGCAAUCCCCUGGGCCUGUACUGACGCUCAUGCACGAAAGCGUGGGGAGCAAACAGGAUUAGAUACCCUGGUAGUCCACGCCCUAAACGAUGUCAACUGGGUUGUUGGGUCUUCACUGACUCAGUAACGAAGCUCACGCGUGAAGAUGACCGCCUGGGGAGUAC